AUUGCCUCAGUAACGGCGAGUGAAGCGGCAAGAGCUCAAAUUUGAAAGCUGGCCCCUUCRGGGUCCGCGUUGURAUUUGCAKAGGAUGCUUCGGGUGCAGCCCCCGUCUAAGUGCCCUGGAACGGGCCGUCWUAGAGGGUGAGAAUCCCGUCUGGGACGGGGUGUCUGCGUCCGUGUGAAGCUCCUUCGACGAGUCGAGUUGUUUGGGAAUGCAGCUCUAAAUGGGUGGUAAAUUUCAUCUAAAGCUAAAUACUGGCCGGAGACCGAUAGCGCACAAGUAGAGUGAUCGAAAGAUGAAAAGCACUUUGAAAAGAGAGUUAAACASCACGUGAAAUUGUUGAAAGGGAAGCGUUUGCGACCAGACUCGCCCGCGGGGUUCAGCCGGCAUUCKUGCCGGUGUACUUCCCCGUGGGCGGGCCAGCGUCGGUUUGGGCGGCCGGUCAAAGGCCCUCGGAAUGUAUCACCUCUCGGGGUGUCUUAUAGCCGAGGGUGCAAUGCGGCCUGCCCGGACCGAGGAACGCGCUUCGGCUCGGACGCUGGCGUAAUGGUCGUAAAUGACCCGUCUUGAAACACGGACCAAGGAGUCUAACAUCUACGCGAGUGUUCGGGUGUCAAACCCGUACGCRCAGUGAAAGCGAACGGAGGUGGGAGCCCCCUCGCGGGGCGCACCAUCGACCGAUCCUGAUGUCUUCGGAUGGAUUUGAGUACGAGCGUAGCUGUGGGGACCCGAAAGAUGGUGAACUAUGCCUGAAUAGGGCGAAGCCAGAGGAAACUCUGGUGGAGGCUCGCAGCGGUUCUGACGUGCAAAUCGAUCGUCAAAUUUGGGUAUAGGGGCGAAAGACUAAUCGAACCAUCUAGUAGCUGGUUCUGCCGA
This 874-nucleotide ribosomal RNA is filed under the name Aspergillus fischeri. Its description in RNAcentral is "LSU rRNA". It matches the Rfam family "Eukaryotic large subunit ribosomal RNA", at positions 74 to 964 of the family's 3401-position model. The record is from RNAcentral. Lineage: Eukaryota; Fungi; Ascomycota; Eurotiomycetes; Eurotiales; Aspergillaceae.